Non-coding RNA from Pelobates cultripes (western spadefoot toad), 238 nucleotides. The record is from the annotation of a GenBank genome assembly. Lineage: Eukaryota; Metazoa; Chordata; Amphibia; Anura; Pelobatidae.
GAAUUGAGCAGUGAGACUUCAGUGGCGUUAUUUAUACACCAAAACUGGUUAAUUAAGCUAAGGUUAUGUUAGUGCUUAGAGUAUCCCUUUGUCAUGUAUUCAUCCGCACAUAAAAAUGUGGUUAAUGGCAUUUACUGUCCUGACAGGAAAAGUUGUGCCGAGCAACUUUACCGUCCUGACAGGAAAAGUUGUGCCAAGCAGCAAUCAUGCACAUGCAAACCUGGUAAGUACUUUUGGG